GACAGAGGGUGCAAACGUUGCUCGGAAUCACUGGGCGUAAAGGGCGUGUAGGCGGGAAGGUAAGUCGGGCGUGAAAUCCCUGAGCUCAACUCAGGAACUGCACUCGAAACUACUUUUCUUGAGUGCCGGAGAGGAAAGCGGAAUUCCUGGUGUAGCGGUGAAAUGCGCAGAUAUCAGGAGGAACACCGGUGGCGAAGGCGGAUCUCUGGGCCUUACCUGACGCUCAGGCACGAAAGCUAGGGGAGCGAACAGG
This 253-nucleotide ribosomal RNA is filed under the name uncultured bacterium. Its description in RNAcentral is "partial 16S ribosomal RNA". It matches the Rfam family "Bacterial small subunit ribosomal RNA", at positions 524 to 776 of the family's 1533-position model. The record is from RNAcentral.